This 475-nucleotide ribosomal RNA is filed under the name uncultured bacterium. RNAcentral's name for it is "bacterial SSU rRNA". It matches the Rfam family "Bacterial small subunit ribosomal RNA", at positions 28 to 526 of the family's 1533-position model. The record is from RNAcentral.
GACGAACGCUGGCGGCGUGCUUAACACAUGCAAGUCGAGCGGAAAGGCCCUUCGGGGUACUCGAGCGGCGAACGGGUGAGUAACACGUGAGCAACCUGCCCUUGGCUUUGGGAUAACCCUCGGAAACGGGGGCUAAUACCGGAUAUGACAUCUGAUCGCAUGGUUGGGUGUGGAAAGUUUUUCGGCCAGGGAUGGGCUCGCGGCCUAUCAGCUUGUUGGUGGGGUAAUGGCCUACCAAGGCGACGACGGGUAGCCGGCCUGAGAGGGCGACCGGCCACACUGGGACUGAGACACGGCCCAGACUCCUACGGGAGGCAGCAGUGGGGAAUAUUGCACAAUGGGCGAAAGCCUGAUGCAGCGACGCCGCGUGAGGGAAGACGGCCUUCGGGUUGUAAACCUCUUUCAGCAGGGACGAAUCUGACGGUACCUGCAGAAGAAGCGCCGGCCAACUACGUGCCAGCCGCCGCCGUAAGAC